AGCCUUAGCAGCCCGAAAGGGUGCAGCUCCAACGACUCUAACCGGAGAGCUGCUGAAAUGCUAGUUUGCACCGCGCAGGCGACACUAUCCAAUUGCGGGAACCCCCUAAAGGCCUCAACACCAAGCGUUCGUGGGAAACCAUGGCGUGGCCGAGCUAAUAGCCCUGGGUAUGGUAACAGCUUGAGGUAUGAAGCCCCCCCAUGGGGGGUGGAAAUGGGCUAUCCGCAGCCAAGUCCUACCGUAUGCAGCCCCCGCUGCGUGCCACGGAUGCUGUUCACAGGCCAAAUGGUAGUGGGUGACUUGCCGAGUCGCUUAAGAUAUGGUCGGGCCCCUCUAGAAAUAUUGGGGAGAAGUUUAUGCCGUGUCCAUGACACAUACGAACUGUAACCGUUCCGUAGGUGAACCUGCGGAAGGAUCAUU
Molecule: ribosomal RNA, 420 nt
Filed under: Scleroramularia henaniensis
Lineage: Eukaryota; Fungi; Ascomycota; Dothideomycetes
Description: partial 18S ribosomal RNA
Rfam family: Group I catalytic intron (bases 29-347)
About the family: Group I catalytic introns are large self-splicing ribozymes.
Source: RNAcentral